This 1521-nucleotide ribosomal RNA is filed under the name Salmonella enterica. Its description in RNAcentral is "bacterial SSU rRNA". It matches the Rfam family "Bacterial small subunit ribosomal RNA". Lineage: Bacteria; Pseudomonadati; Pseudomonadota; Gammaproteobacteria; Enterobacterales; Enterobacteriaceae. The record is from RNAcentral.
AGAGUUUGAUCAUGGCUCAGAUUGAACGCUGGCGGCAGGCCUAACACAUGCAAGUCGAACGGUAACAGGAAGCAGCUUGCUGCUUUGCUGACGAGUGGCGGACGGGUGAGUAAUGUCUGGGAAACUGCCUGAUGGAGGGGGAUAACUACUGGAAACGGUGGCUAAUACCGCAUAACGUCGCAAGACCAAAGAGGGGGACCUUCGGGCCUCUUGCCAUCAGAUGUGCCCAGAUGGGAUUAGCUUGUUGGUGAGGUAACGGCUCACCAAGGCGACGAUCCCUAGCUGGUCUGAGAGGAUGACCAGCCACACUGGAACUGAGACACGGUCCAGACUCCUACGGGAGGCAGCAGUGGGGAAUAUUGCACAAUGGGCGCAAGCCUGAUGCAGCCAUGCCGCGUGUAUGAAGAAGGCCUUCGGGUUGUAAAGUACUUUCAGCGGGGAGGAAGGUGUUGUGGUUAAUAACCGCAGCAAUUGACGUUACCCGCAGAAGAAGCACCGGCUAACUCCGUGCCAGCAGCCGCGGUAAUACGGAGGGUGCAAGCGUUAAUCGGAAUUACUGGGCGUAAAGCGCACGCAGGCGGUCUGUCAAGUCGGAUGUGAAAUCCCCGGGCUCAACCUGGGAACUGCAUUCGAAACUGGCAGGCUUGAGUCUUGUAGAGGGGGGUAGAAUUCCAGGUGUAGCGGUGAAAUGCGUAGAGAUCUGGAGGAAUACCGGUGGCGAAGGCGGCCCCCUGGACAAAGACUGACGCUCAGGUGCGAAAGCGUGGGGAGCAAACAGGAUUAGAUACCCUGGUAGUCCACGCCGUAAACGAUGUCUACUUGGAGGUUGUGCCCUUGAGGCGUGGCUUCCGGAGCUAACGCGUUAAGUAGACCGCCUGGGGAGUACGGCCGCAAGGUUAAAACUCAAAUGAAUUGACGGGGGCCCGCACAAGCGGUGGAGCAUGUGGUUUAAUUCGAUGCAACGCGAAGAACCUUACCUGGUCUUGACAUCCACGGAAGUUUUCAGAGAUGGAUUGUGCCUUCGGGAACCGUGAGACAGGUGCUGCAUGGCUGUCGUCAGCUCGUGUUGUGAAAUGUUGGGUUAAGUCCCGCAACGAGCGCAACCCUUAUCCUUUGUUGCCAGCGGUUAGGCCGGGAACUCAAAGGAGACUGCCAGUGAUAAACUGGAGGAAGGUGGGGAUGACGUCAAGUCAUCAUGGCCCUUACGACCAGGGCUACACACGUGCUACAAUGGCGCAUACAAAGAGAAGCGACCUCGCGAGAGCAAGCGGACCUCAUAAAGUGCGUCGUAGUCCGGAUUGGAGUCUGCAACUCGACUCCAUGAAGUCGGAAUCGCUAGUAAUCGUGGAUCAGAAUGCCACGGUGAAUACGUUCCCGGGCCUUGUACACACCGCCCGUCACACCAUGGGAGUGGGUUGCAAAAGAAGUAGGUAGCUUAACCUUCGGGAGGGCGCUUACCACUUUGUGAUUCAUGACUGGGGUGAAGUCGUAACAAGGUAACCGUAGGGGAACCUGCGGUUG